RNAcentral lists this ribosomal RNA (1446 nucleotides) under uncultured organism. Its description in RNAcentral is "16S ribosomal RNA". It matches the Rfam family "Bacterial small subunit ribosomal RNA". The record is from RNAcentral.
CAGGCUUAACACAUGCAAGUCGAGGGGCAGCAUGGUCUUAGCUUGCUAAGGCCGAUGGCGACCGGCGCACGGGUGAGUAACACGUAUCCAACCUGCCGUCUACUCUUGGACAGCCUUCUGAAAGGAAGAUUAAUACAAGAUGGCAUCAUGAGUCCGCAUGUUCACAUGAUUAAAGGUAUUCCGGUAGACGAUGGGGAUGCGUUCCAUUAGAUAGUAGGCGGGGUAACGGCCCACCUAGUCUUCGAUGGAUAGGGGUUCUGAGAGGAAGGUCCCCCACAUUGGAACUGAGACACGGUCCAAACUCCUACGGGAGGCAGCAGUGAGGAAUAUUGGUCAAUGGGCGAGAGCCUGAACCAGCCAAGUAGCGUGAAGGAUGGCUGCCCUAUGGGUUGUAAACUUCUUUUAUAAAGGAAUAAAGUCGGGUAUGGAUACCCGUUUGCAUGUACUUUAUGAAUAAGGAUCGGCUAACUCCGUGCCAGCAGCCGCGGUAAUACGGAGGAUCCGAGCGUUAUCCGGAUUUAUUGGGUUUAAAGGGAGCGUAGAUGGAUGUUUAAGUCAGUUGUGAAAGUUUGCGGCUCAACCGUAAAAUUGCAGUUGAUACUGGAUAUCUUGAGUGCAGUUGAGGCAGGCGGAAUUCGUGGUGUAGCGGUGAAAUGCUUAGAUAUCACGAAGAACUCCGAUUGCGAAGGCAGCCUGCUAAGCUGCAACUGACAUUGAGGCUCGAAAGUGUGGGUAUCAAACAGGAUUAGAUACCUUGGUAGUCCACACGGUAAACGAUGAAUACUCGCUGUUUGCGAUAUACGGCAAGCGGCCAAGCGAAAGCGUUAAGUAUUCCACCUGGGGAGUACGCCGGCAACGGUGAAACUCAAAGGAAUUGACGGGGGCCCGCACAAGCGGAGGAACAUGUGGUUUAAUUCGAUGAUACGCGAGGAACCUUACCCGGGCUUAAAUUGCAGAUGAAUUACGGUGAAAGCCGUAAGCCGCAAGGCAUCUGUGAAGGUGCUGCAUGGUUGUCGUCAGCUCGUGCCGUGAGGUGUCGGCUUAAGUGCCAUAACGAGCGCAACCCUUGUUGUCAGUUACUAACAGGUUCCGCUGAGGACUCUGACAAGACUGCCAUCGUAAGAUGUGAGGAAGGUGGGGAUGACGUCAAAUCAGCACGGCCCUUACGUCCGGGGCUACACACGUGUUACAAUGGGGGGUACAGAGGGCCGCUACCACGCGAGUGGAUGCCAAUCCCCAAAACCUCUCUCAGUUCGGACUGGAGUCUGCAACCCGACUCCACGAAGCUGGAUUCGCUAGUAAUCGCGCAUCAGCCACGGCGCGGUGAGUACGUUCCCGGGCCUUGUACACACCGCCCGUCAAGCCAUGGGAGCCGGGGGUACCUGAAGUGCGUAACCGCGAGGAGCGCCCUAGGGUAAAACUGGUGACUGGGGCUAAGUCAUAACA